UCCAAUCUUAUUCAUUUAGGCUUCAUUCUGUUGGGAAAUGAUACCGGAAAAUAACAACAAUAAUAGUACUGCAAUAAUAUUAUUUAUGAGUGAAAAUACUUCAACUGGCUUGAACCGUGCGAGAGACAUUAAACAAGUCUACCUCUAUUAAAGGAGGAUACAUGAAUCAGUAAAAUAUUAAUUUUCAAAUCCAAUAAUUAAUAAAAAGAAUAAGACCACUAAUGUGAAAUAUUAAUUAAAUACUAUAGGAGAAGAUUUGGAAGAAAGAGGAGAGGGGCGUGUGAG
This 285-nucleotide long non-coding RNA is filed under the name Nicotiana benthamiana. RNAcentral describes it as "long non-coding RNA (NBEN_LNC026724)". Lineage: Eukaryota; Viridiplantae; Streptophyta; Magnoliopsida; Solanales; Solanaceae. The record is from RNAcentral.